RNAcentral lists this ribosomal RNA (253 nucleotides) under uncultured bacterium. Its description in RNAcentral is "partial 16S ribosomal RNA". It matches the Rfam family "Bacterial small subunit ribosomal RNA", at positions 524 to 776 of the family's 1533-position model. The record is from RNAcentral.
UACGUAGGGAGCAAGCGUUGUCCGGAAUCAUUGGGCGUAAAGCGCGCGUAGGUGGCCUCAUAAGUCCGCUGUGAAAGUCAAAGGCUCAACCUUUGAAAGCCGGUGGAUACUGUGAGGCUAGAGUACGGAAGAGGCGAGUGGAAUUCCUGGUGUAGCGGUGGAAUGCGCAGAUAUCAGGAGGAACACCAAUAGCGAAGGCAGCUCGCUGGAACGGUACUGACGCUGAGGCGCGAAAGCGUGGGGAGCAAACAGG